CGACCCUAGGUCAGGCGGGAUCACCCGCUGAGUUUAAGCAUAUCAAUAAGCGGAGGAAAAGAAACUAACAAGGAUUCCCUUAGUAACGGCGAGCGAACCGGGAAGAGCCAAACUUGAAAAUCGGACGUCUUCGGCGUUCGAAUUGUAGUCUGGAGAAGCGUCCUCAGCGAUGGACCGGGCCCAAGUUCCCUGGAAAGGGGUGCCAGAGAGGGUGAGAGCCCCAUCGUGCCCGGACCCUGUCGCACCACGAGACCCUGUCGCACCACGAGGUGCUGUCUACGAGUCGGGUUGUUUGGGAAUGCAGCCCCAAUCGGGCGGUAAAUUCCGUCCAAGGCUAAAUAUGGGUGAGAGACCGAUAGCGAACAAGUACCGCGACGUAAAGAUGAAAAGGACUUUGAAAAGAGAGUCAAAGAGUGCUUGAAAUUGUCGGGAGGGAAGCGGAUGGGGGCCGGCGAUUCGUCCCAGUCGGAUGCGGAAUGGAGCAAUCCGGGCUGCCAAUCGAUUCGGGCCGUGGACCGACGUGGAAUAAGGUGGUGACCUAAGCCCAGGCUUUUGUUACGCCCGUGGAGACGUUGCUGCCUUAAUCGUGGUCUACAGCACGCGCCUCACGGCGUGCCUCGGCAUCUGCAUGCUCACGGCGUCGGAGUGUGGGCUCCCCAGUCGACCCGUCUUGAAACACGGACCAAGGAGUCUGACAUUAGUGCGAGUCAACGGGUGAGUAAACCCGUAAGGCGCAUGGAAGCUGAUUGGCUGGAUCCCUCACGGGUGCACAGUCGACCGACCUUGAUCUUCUGAGAAGGGUUCGAGUGUGAGCAAGCCUGUCGGGACCCGAAAGAUGGUGAACUAUGCCUGAGCGGGGCGAAGCCAGAAAAAACUCUGAUGGAGACCCGCAGCGAUACUGACGUGCAAAUCAUUCGUCUGACUUGGGUAUAAGGGCGAAAGACUAAUCAAACCAUCUAGUAGCUGGUUCCCUCGGAAGUUUCCCUUAGGAUAGCUGGAGCUCGGGUAAAGCCAAUGAUUAGAGGCAUCAGGGACGCAAUGUCCUUGACAUAUUCUCAAACUUUAAAUAGGUAGGCGGGGUGGCUGCUUUGUUGAUCCAUCCCACGAAAUCGAGAGCUCCAAGUGGGCCAUUUUUGGUAUGCAGAACUGGCGAUGCGGGAUGAACCGGAAGCCGGGUUACGGUCCCAACUGCACGCUAACCUAGAACCCACAAAGGGUGUUGGUCGAUUAAGACAGCAGGACGGUGGUCAUGGAAGUUGAAAUCCGCUAAGGAGUGUCUAACAACUCACCUGCCGAAUCAACAAGCCUCGAAAAUGGAUGGCGCUGAAGCGCACGACCUAUACCCGGCUGUCGGGGCAAGAGCCAGGCCUAGAUGAGUUGGAGGGCGCGGCGAUCGCUGCAAAACCUAGGGCACGAGCCCGAGCGGAGCGGCCGUCGGUGCAGAUCUUGGUGGUAGUAGCAAAUAUUCCAAUGAGAACUUUGAAGGCCGAAGAGGGGAAAGGUUCCAUGUGAACCGCACUUGCACAUGGGUUAGUCGAUCCUAAGAGUCGGGGGAAACCUGUCUGAUAGCGCUUAUGCACGAACUUUGAAAGGGGAUCCGGUUAAAAUUCUGGAACCGGUACAUGGCGGUUGACGGCAACGUUAGGAAGUCCGGAGACGUCGGCAGGAAUUCCAGAAACAGUUAUCUUUUCUGUUUAGCAGCCUGCCCACCCUGGAAACGGCUCAGCCGGAGGUAAGGUCCAGUGGCUGGAAGAGCACUGCACGUUGCGUGGUCUCCGGUGUAUUCCCGGCGGCCCUUGAAAAUCUGGAGGACCGAGUGCUGCUCACGCCCGGUCGUACUCAUAACCGCAUUAGGUCUCCAAGAUGAACAGCCUCUGGUCGACGGGACAAUGUAGGCAAGGGAUGUCGGCAAAAUGGAUCCGUAAUUUUGGGAAAAGGAUUGGCUCUGAGGGCUGGGCUCGGGGGUCCCAGUUCCGAACCCAUCGACUGUUAGCGGGCUGCUUGAGCUGCUAACGUGGCGAGAGCGGACCACCUCGUGUCGGCCUGGGGACAGACUGGGAACGGCUCUUUCGGGAUCUUUCCCCGAGCAUCGAACAGCCAACUCAAAACUGGUAUGGACAAGGGGAAUCCGACUGUUUAAUUAAAACAAAGCAUUGCGAGGGUCCCUGCAGAUGCUAACGUAAUGUGAUUUCCGCCCAGUGCUCUGAAUGUACAAAGUG
Non-coding RNA from Brassica napus (rape), 2219 nucleotides. The record is from Rfam. NCBI's taxonomy places the organism in Eukaryota, Viridiplantae, Streptophyta, Magnoliopsida, Brassicales, Brassicaceae.